RNAcentral lists this unclassified non-coding RNA (247 nucleotides) under uncultured Entrophospora. RNAcentral describes it as "uncultured Claroideoglomus sequence contains 18S rRNA gene". It matches the Rfam family "Eukaryotic small subunit ribosomal RNA", at positions 569 to 825 of the family's 1831-position model. The record is from RNAcentral. Lineage: Eukaryota; Fungi; Glomeromycota; Glomeromycetes; Entrophosporales; Entrophosporaceae.
AGCAGCCGCGGUAAUUCCAGCUCCAAUAGCGUAUAUUAAAGUUGUUGCAGUUAAAAGCUCGUAGUUGAAUUUCGGGGUUAGUAGGUUGGUCAUGCCUCUGGUAUGUACUGGUCUCACUGAUUCCUCCUUCCUGAUGAGCCGUAAUGCCAUUAAUUUGGUGUUGGCGGGAAUUGGACUGUUACUUUGAAAAAUUGAGUGUUUAAAGCAGGCUAACGCUUGAAUACAUUAGCAUGGAAUAAUAGAAAUA